Molecule: ribosomal RNA, 492 nt
Filed under: uncultured bacterium
Lineage: Bacteria
Description: partial 16S ribosomal RNA
Rfam family: Bacterial small subunit ribosomal RNA
Source: RNAcentral
AGUGAACGCUGGCGGUAGGCCUAACACAUGCAAGUCGAACGGCAGCACAGUAAGAGCUUGCUCUUACGGGUGGCGAGUGGCGGACGGGUGAGGAAUACAUCGGAAUCUACUUUUUCGUGGGGGAUAACGUAGGGAAACUUACGCUAAUACCGCAUACGACCUACGGGUGAAAGCAGGGGAUCUUCGGACCUUGCGCGAUUGAAUGAGCCGAUGUCGGAUUAGCUAGUUGGCGGGGUAAAGGCCCACCAAGGCGACGAUCCGUAGCUGGUCUGAGAGGAUGGUCAGCCACACUGGAACUGAGACACCGGCCAGACUCCUACGGGAGGCAGCAGUGGGGAAUAUUGGACAAUGGGCGCAAGCCUGAUCCAGCCAUACCGCGUGGGUGAAGAAGGCCUUCGGGUUGUAAAGCCCUUUUGUUGGGAAAGAAAAGCAGCAGGUUAAUACCCCGCUGUUCUGACGGUACCCAAAGAAUAAGCACCGGCUAACUUCGUG